RNAcentral lists this ribosomal RNA (422 nucleotides) under uncultured archaeon. Its description in RNAcentral is "partial 16S ribosomal RNA". It matches the Rfam family "Archaeal small subunit ribosomal RNA", at positions 323 to 746 of the family's 1478-position model. The record is from RNAcentral.
CUACGGGGGGCAGCAGGCGCGAAACCUUUACAAUGUACGUAAGUGCGAUAAGGGAACUCCCAGUGCUCAUGCAUUGCAUGGGCUUUUGUCAAGUGUAAAUAACUUGGCGAAUAAGUGGUGGGUAAGACGGGUGCCAGCCGCCGCGGUAACACCUGCGCCACGAGUGGUGAUCAUGUUUAUUGGGCCUAAAGCGUUCGUAGCCGGAUAAGUCAGUCUUGGGUGAAAUCGUUGCGCUUAACAAAACGACGUGCUUGAGAUACUGCUAAUCUAGGGACCGGGAGGAGUUAGGGGUAUUUCUGAGGGAGCGGUAAAAUGCUAUAAUCUCAGGAGGACCACCUGUGGCGAAGGCGCCUAACUAGAACGGGUCCGACGGUGAGGAACGAAAGCUAGGGGAGCAAAACGGAUUAGAUACCCUGGUAGUC